RNAcentral lists this ribosomal RNA (554 nucleotides) under uncultured bacterium. RNAcentral describes it as "partial 16S ribosomal RNA". It matches the Rfam family "Bacterial small subunit ribosomal RNA", at positions 356 to 900 of the family's 1533-position model. The record is from RNAcentral.
UAGGAAUCUUCCACAAUGGACGCAAGUCUGAUGGAGCAACGCCGCGUGAGUGAAGAAGGUUUUCGGAUCGUAAAGCUCUGUUGUUGGUGAAGAAGGAUAGAGGCAGUAACUGGUCUUUAUUUGACGGUAAUCAACCAGAAAGUCACGGCUAACUACGUGCCAGCAGCCGCGGUAAUACGUAGGUGGCAAGCGUUGUCCGGAUUUAUUGGGCGUAAAGCGAGCGCAGGCGGAAUGAUAAGUCUGAUGUGAAAGCCCACGGCUCAACCGUGGAACUGCAUCGGAAACUGUCAUUCUUGAGUGCAGAAGAGGAGAGUGGAACUCCAUGUGUAGCGGUGGAAUGCGUAGAUAUAUGGAAGAACACCAGUGGCGAAGGCGGCUCUCUGGUCUGCAACUGACGCUGAGGCUCGAAAGCAUGGGUAGCGAACAGGAUUAGAUACCCUGGUAGUCCAUGCCGUAAACGAUGAGCGCUAGGUGUUGGGGACUUUCCGGUCCUCAGUGCCGCAGCAAACGCAUUAAGCGCUCCGCCUGGGGGAGUACGACCGCAAGGUUGAAAC